Molecule: ribosomal RNA, 1347 nt
Filed under: uncultured bacterium
Lineage: Bacteria
Description: bacterial SSU rRNA
Rfam family: Bacterial small subunit ribosomal RNA
Source: RNAcentral
GACGAACGCUGGCGGCGUGCUUAACACAUGCAAGUCGAACGAUGAAGCCUAGCUUGCUAGGUGGAUUAGUGGCGAACGGGUGAGUAAUACGUGAGUAACCUACCUUUAACUCUGGGAUAAGCCUGGGAAACUGGGUCUAAUACCGGAUACGACCAAUCUCCGCAUGGGGUGUUGGUGGAAAGCGUUAUGUAGUGGUUAUAGAUGGGCUCACGGCCUAUCAGCUUGUUGGUGAGGUAACGGCUCACCAAGGCGACGACGGGUAGCCGGCCUGAGAGGGUGACCGGCCACACUGGGACUGAGACACGGCCCAGACUCCUACGGGAGGCAGCAGUGGGGAAUAUUGCACAAUGGGCGCAAGCCUGAUGCAGCGACGCCGCGUGAGGGAUGACGGCCUUCGGGUUGUAAACCUCUGUUAGCAGGGAAGAAGAGAGAUUGACGGUACCUGCAGAGAAAGCGCCGGCUAACUACGUGCCAGCAGCCGCGGUAAUACGUAGGGCGCGAGCGUUGUCCGGAAUUAUUGGGCGUAAAGAGCUUGUAGGCGGUUUGUCGCGUCUGCUGUGAAGGCCGGAGCUUAACUCCGUGUAUUGCAGUGGGUACGGGCAGACUAGAGUGCAGUAGGGGAGACUGGAAUUCCUGGUGUAGCGGUGGAAUGCGCAGAUAUCAGGAGGAACACCGAUGGCGGAGGCAGGUCUCUGGGCUGUAACUGACGCUGAGAAGCGAAAGCAUGGGGAGCGAACAGGAUUAGAUACCCUGGUAGUCCAUGCCGUAAACGUUGGGCACUAGGUGUGGGGAACAUUCCACGUUUUCCGCGCCGUAGCUAACGCAUUAAGUGCCCCGCCUGGGGAGUACGGCCGCAAGGCUAAAACUCAAAGAAAUUGACGGGGGCCCGCACAAGCGGCGGAGCAUGCGGAUUAAUUCGAUGCAACGCGAAGAACCUUACCAAGGCUUGACAUAUACUGGACCGCAUCAGAGAUGGUGUUUCCCUUCGGGGCUGGUAUACAGGUGGUGCAUGGUUGUUGUCAGCUCGUGUCGUGAGAUGUUGGGUUAAGUCCCGCAACGAGCGCAACCCUCGUUCUAUGUUGCCAGCACGUUAUGGUGGGGACUCAUAGGAGACUGCCGGGGUCAACUCGGAGGAAGGUGGGGAUGACGUCAAAUCAUCAUGCCCCUUAUGUCUUGGGCUUCACGCAUGCUACAAUGGCCGGUACAGAGGGUUGCGAUACUGUGAGGUGGAGCUAAUCCCUAAAAGCCGGUCUCAGUUCGGAUUGGGGUCUGCAACUCGACCCCAUGAAGUCGGAGUCGCUAGUAAUCGCAGAUCAGCAACGCUGCGGUGAAUACGUUCCCGGGCCU